GGACCCGCACAAGCAGUGGAGCAUGUGGUUUAAUUCGAAGAUACGCGCAGAACCUUACCAACACUUGACAUGUUCGUCGCGAGCCUAAGAGAUUAGGCUUUUCAGUUUGGCUGGACGAAACACAGGUGCUGCAUGGCUGUCGUCAGCUCGUGUCGUGAGAUGUUGGGUUAAGUCCCGCAACGAGCGCAACCCCCUACUUUUAGUUGCCACCAUUUAGUUGGGCACUUUAAAAGAACUGCCAGUGAUAAGCUGGAGGAAGGUGGGGAUGACGUCAAGUCCUCAUGGCCCUUAUGUGUUGGGCUACACACGUGCUACAAUGGCACUUACAAUGGGAAGCAAAGAGGCGACUCCUAGCUAAUCCCUAAAAUGUGUCUCAGUUCGGAUUGUACUCUGUAACUCGAGUGCAUG
RNAcentral lists this ribosomal RNA (408 nucleotides) under uncultured bacterium. Its description in RNAcentral is "bacterial SSU rRNA". It matches the Rfam family "Bacterial small subunit ribosomal RNA", at positions 917 to 1322 of the family's 1533-position model. The record is from RNAcentral.